Molecule: ribosomal RNA, 1052 nt
Filed under: uncultured crenarchaeote
Lineage: Archaea; Thermoproteati; Thermoproteota
Description: bacterial SSU rRNA
Rfam family: Archaeal small subunit ribosomal RNA
Source: RNAcentral
UGGCGGGCGGGGCGGGAGCACGGGGGGACGGGGUGCAGCAGGCGCGAAACCUCCGCAAUGCGUGAAAGCGUGACGGGGUUACCCCGAGUGCCGUCUGCUGAAGAUGGCUUUUCCCCGGUGUAAUGAGCCGGGGGAAUAAGGGGAGGGCAAGACUGGUGUCAGCCGCCGCGGUAAUACCAGCUCCUCGAGUGGUGGGGAUGAUUAUUGGGCUUAAAGCGUUCGUAGCCGGCUUGGCAAGUCUUCCGUUAAAUCCGGCGGCCUAAUCGUCGGGCUGCGGGAGAUACUACUGGGCUGGGGGGCGGGAGAGGCCGACGGUAUUCUUGGGGUAGGGGUGGAAUCCUAUAAUCCCGGGAGGACCACCAGUGGCGAAGGCGGUCGGCCAGAACGCGCUCGACGGUGAGGGACGAAAGCUGGGGGAGCGAACCGGAUUAGAUACCCGGGUAGUCCCAGCUGUAAACGAUGCGGGCUAGGUGUUGGGAUGGUUACGUACCAUCUCGGGGCCGCAGGGAAGCCAUUAAGCCCGCCGCCUGGAAAGUACGGCCGCAAGGCUGAAACUUAAAGGAAUUGGCGGGGGAGCACUACAAGGGGUGAAGCUUGCGGUUCAAUUGGAGUCAACGCCGGGAACCUUACCGGGGGAGACAGCAGGAUGAAGGCCAGAUUGAAGGUCUUGCUGGACAAGCUGAGAGGUGCUGCAUGGCCGUCGCCAGUUCGUGCCGUGAGGUGUCCUGUUAAGUCAGGCAACGAUCGAGACCCGCGCCCCUACUUGCCACCGGGCCCCAGUGGAGCCCGAGCACAAUAGGGGGACCGCCACCGAGAAGGUGGAGGAAGGAGCGGGCCACGGCAGGUCAGUAUGGCCUGAAUCCCCCGGGCCACACGCGAGCUGCAAUGGCGGGGACAGAGGGUUCCAACACCGAGAGGUGGAGGUAAUCUCUAAACCCCGUCGUAGUUGGGAUCGGGGGCUGCAACCCGCCCCCGUGAACCUGGAAUCCCUAGUAACCGCGUGUCAUCACCGCGCGGUGAAUACGUCCCUGCUCCUUGCACGAAUUCGCCGA